This 468-nucleotide ribosomal RNA is filed under the name uncultured bacterium. RNAcentral's name for it is "partial 16S ribosomal RNA". It matches the Rfam family "Bacterial small subunit ribosomal RNA", at positions 28 to 507 of the family's 1533-position model. The record is from RNAcentral.
GACGAACGCUGGCGGCGUGCUUAACACAUGCAAGUCGAACGGAAAGGCCCUGCUUUUGUGGGGUGCUCGAGUGGCGAACGGGUGAGUAACACGUGAGUAACCUGCCCUUGACUUUGGGAUAACUUCAGGAAACUGGGGCUAAUACCGGAUAGGAGCUCCUGCUGCAUGGUGGGGGUUGGAAAGUUUCGGCGGUUGGGGAUGGACUCGCGGCGUAUCAGCUUGUUGGUGGGGUAGUGGCUUACCAAGGCUUUGACGGGUAGCCGGCCUGAGAGGGUGACCGGCCACAUUGGGACUGGGAUACGGCCCAGACUCCUACGGGAGGCAGCAGUGGGGAAUAUUGCACAAUGGGCGGAAGCCUGAUGCAGCAACGCCGCGUGCGGGAUGACGGCCUUCGGGUUGUAAACCGCUUUCGCCUGUGACGAAGCGUGAGUGACGGUAAUGGGUAAAGAAGCACCGGCUAACUACGUG